Molecule: ribosomal RNA, 468 nt
Filed under: uncultured bacterium
Lineage: Bacteria
Description: partial 16S ribosomal RNA
Rfam family: Bacterial small subunit ribosomal RNA
Source: RNAcentral
GACGAACGCUGGCGGCGUGCUUAACACAUGCAAGUCGAACGGAAAGGCCCUGCUUUUGUGGGGUGCUCGAGUGGCGAACGGGUGAGUAACCCGUGAGUAACCUGCCCUUGACUUUGGGAUAACUUCAGGAAACUGGGGCUAAUACCGGCUAGGAGCUCCUGCUGCAUGGGGGGGGUUGGAAAGUUUGGGCGGUUGGGGAUGGACUCGCGGUUUAUUAGCUUGUUGGUGGGGUAGUGGCUUAUCAAGGGUUUGACAGAUAGCCGGCCUGAGAGGGUGACCGGCCACAUUGGUACUGAGAUACGGACCAGACUCCUACGGGAGGCAGCAGUGGAGAAUAUUGCACAAUGGGCGGAAGCCUGAUGCAGCAAUGCCGCGUGCGGGAUGACGGCCUUGGGGUUGUAAACCGCAUUCGCCUGUGACGAAGCGUGAGUGACGGUACUGGGUAAAGAAGCACCGGCUAACUACGUG